UUGAAUUAAUCUAGAGUUGGUUGUUGCUGGCCUCUUCCCCUUGGGGGGAGGGGAGGCAUGUGCACACCUUCUCUUUCAUCCACACACACCUGUGCAUUUGUGAGAUGGAGGGCUGGAACUUUCUUUUCUAACCUCCCAUCUGCUAUUACACAAACUCAAUUUAAUUUAAACUGAAUGUAAUUGAUGUAACACAUCUAAUAC
This 201-nucleotide unclassified non-coding RNA is filed under the name uncultured Ceratobasidiaceae. Its description in RNAcentral is "sequence contains ITS1". Lineage: Eukaryota; Fungi; Basidiomycota; Agaricomycetes; Cantharellales; Ceratobasidiaceae. The record is from RNAcentral.